RNAcentral lists this ribosomal RNA (231 nucleotides) under uncultured bacterium. RNAcentral describes it as "partial 16S ribosomal RNA". It matches the Rfam family "Bacterial small subunit ribosomal RNA", at positions 15 to 244 of the family's 1533-position model. The record is from RNAcentral.
GAUCAUGGCUCAGGACGAACGCUGGCGCGCGCCUAACACAUGCAAGUCGAACGAGCGAGAGAGAGCUUGCUUUCUCGAGCGAGUGGCGAACGGGUGAGUAACGCGUGAGGAACCUGCCUCAAAGAGGGGACAACAGUCGGAACGACUGCUAAUACCGCAUAAGCCCACAGGUCGGCAUCGACCAGAGGGAAAAGGAGCAAUCCGCUUUGAGAUGGCCUCGCGUCCGAUUAG